GUUAGGUAUGCGCGGGAUAAACCUUAGGUCGUUCGUAAGAGCGGCAGCCCCAAGUGGGUGGGAUCCUAAGGCCCGGAACCUACUUUUUU
This 89-nucleotide non-coding RNA is filed under the name unclassified sequences. The record is from Rfam.